Non-coding RNA from Podarcis lilfordi (Lilford's wall lizard), 810 nucleotides. NCBI's taxonomy places the organism in Eukaryota, Metazoa, Chordata, Lepidosauria, Squamata, Lacertidae. The record is from the annotation of a GenBank genome assembly.
AUCACUGCCACCCAGCUCUGACAGGAGCCAUUUCCAGGAAGGGCAGGGGCAACUCACCUUCCCCUUGGGGAGAGGAAGAGAGGUGGGGACACCAUGGACGUGAAGGACAGGCCUCUCAGCAGAGUCUGCCUCUCUCUCUCUCCCUCCCUCCUGCCUCCAGUCCUUUUCCAAAUUAGAGACAGAAACUUGGGUUGGGAUUUGAACUGAGAACCCCAAAGCUUGAAGUUAGGCUGGGCUGAACUACAUAUUGAGGCCUCCUCAGGUGUGACUGGUGAGGCACUAUGAUGCCUCUGGAUUGGCCAGGCCUUCUACAACCAUCCGCAACGUGGGCUCCAGCCUUUGCCAAGGGAUCUGUGCAUUCUAAGAGGAUAUCUGCAUUACAUAAUAACAUAGUAAAACAAUAGCAAAUAUUAAAAAACCCCAAACUCGUGUUUAAAUACUAUAAAUAUAACACAAUCACUUGCAGCAACCAUUAGCAAAAAUAACCAGAGAGCUUGACAGUUUUACCUUAGUCUAAGAAACACCCCUCACCUGGGUCCCUCUCCUGCAGCAGCUUUAAUAUUUACCCUUUGCUCCAAAGAGCUCACCAUUUUAGACUCAAAAAACCCUGUGAAACAGGUCAGGCUGAAAGAUGAUGGUUGGGUGGUGAUUGUUUUACAGUGCCUGAGCCUGAGAAGAGGGAGCUCAAUGGGCUGAAGUGUCCAAGUUGCCUCUACUUAGGAGGAGAUCGGUGCACCUACAUGAAAAACACCAUCAGCUGCAGAAAUGACGAGGACCACUGCUUCUACUUUGGGGGUAGCGGCACUUACG